Melospiza melodia melodia is the source of this 1791-nucleotide long non-coding RNA. RefSeq lists it as uncharacterized. The record is from RefSeq and is a predicted model, not a curated record. Lineage: Eukaryota; Metazoa; Chordata; Aves; Passeriformes; Passerellidae. The transcript has 4 exons.
UGGUUCUUUUUCUUUAUUGUUUUCUGGAAAUAGAAGUAAUUAAGUAUAGAUACUACUGGUUUGUUUCUUCCAGUAGCUGAUAAUACUAAUACCAAUAAUAAUAAUAAUAAGAGUAAAGUAAUACUACUUCAACUGUCUUUAUUUAUCCAUUGGACUGGCCAUUUAAAAUCUAAACUUCUAAACACAAAUCAAACCAUCAUCCUUGUAGAAUCUUUAAUAGGAGUGGGCUAAAGAUCCUGGUUUUGUUGACAGGAUUUAUUGGUUCAUGAAGAGCAAGAGGUAAGUACAAGCCUAACUACCCUCUAGCUCACAGACCUGCCCGGUGAAUAGAGCUUUGUUUUUUUGAUGGGCUUGUGAUGACUUUGAAAUCAAUUGCUCAUUCAUUACAGUAAAAAAAAAAAAAAAAUUGUUUUGAACACGACAGCAAAAAUAACUUUAAGCACAACUUAAUAAUAAUAGAUCACCAAUUUUAGUUAAUAAUUUUAUGCUAUACUCUUGGGUGAGGGAAGACUCGGACACUCAAUAUGAGAUCAGCAAGCUAUGUUUAUUGCAGAGAGUAUCAGACACUUAUACAGCACAUAAUAAGCUUAUGAAUAUUCUGUAAGCCAAGCGAUCUAUUGGUUAAACUAUACCAUCAACUCUUCCUCAUUCCUUUGGGCCUACAUUCUCUAUUUCCCACGUCUCUCUGUCUACUUGUUAUCCUACCCAGCUAGGCCCAGGCACACGCUAUCUUGCAGGUGCAAAACUCAAAAAUACCUGUGUUCGGUACUUUCCCAGCUCCUGGUCGGCUAACGAGCGAAUGUCUGCGUGACCUCUGUCAUGGAGCCAUUUCUCCACACUAUACUAUCAAAGUUUAAAGGUAAAUUAUUAUAUAUUAGGAGAUGGUGUAAAGUGUAUGUUGUAAUGUGUAGGAUAUAUACAAAGAUACGUACUUGAAAGUCCGUAGAGGAAACAAAUUUUUACGCCUUCUCUUUGACUGUUUGUCAUAUAUUUGGUUUUAUUUCCCAGGGAUCAGUGAAUUUUAACUCUGGAGUCCUCUAUGCUAAGGAUGCUCAGCUUACAGAUGAUGAAAUGUUCAGUAAUGUAUUUGCUGGAGCUGUGCUUACCCAAGGUUUGGGUAAAACAAGCUUUGGGUUCCCUCUGUCUCACUGGGAGUUGCCCAGUUCAGUUCCAUCUGGUGAAAUUCACCCUGAGACCUUACAGAACCAGCUCCAACUACGUGAGAGCCAUUUGCAGUUCUCUCCAGACGCCUGGAGAAUGGGUGACGUUUCUGAGGAUCCGGCGAGCGUGCUUCUAUCAAAACUCAGUCUGUGAAAUUCCUGGGGAAAACCCUUCUGUGUCCUGAAGGGUUCAAACUCUGGCGAGGAUCCAGUUAUCAGGUGCUCACCUGGAUGGUUCCAGCUGCCAAAGCGAAAGACUCUCGUAUCCUUGUCGUCGGGCUCGGUGCUGUCCAAGAAGAUACAGAGACUAAAAAAAUCAUAAGAAGCAAAAUAUGACUGCAGGGAAAAGAAGCUGGAGAGAACAGAAGACUCAUCACGGCGGGACAGCGUGAGGACUGAAAGUGUAAGAAGAUGUGGAGGGAAACAGAGAAUCUGACAGGAGCAGCGAACGCACGAGUGCACGAAUUUUGCUUUUUGCUUGGAUGUAAACUCAGGAGUUGAAAGGAAUUUGGGAGUGAGAAGGGACAUUUCAGAAGGAGAAGAAGAAAAAGAAGUUGUUGUUGUUGUUGCUACAGUCCUGGCAAAAGCUUUUGUUCUAGCUAAUAAAAGAAGUUAGUUUAAAAAACAAAAA